AGAGUUUGAUCAUGGCUCAGAUUGAACGCUGGCGGUAUGCUUAACACAUGCAAGUCGAACGGAAACGAUGGUAGCUUGCUACCAGGCGUCAAGUGGCGGACGGGUGAGUAACGCGUAGGAAUCUGCCCAGUAGUGGGGGACAACCAGGGGAAACCCUGGCUAAUACCGCAUACACUCUACGGAGAAAAGGAGGCCUCUUCAAAAGCUUUCGCUAUUGGAUGAGCCUGCGUGAGAUUAGCUAGUUGGUAGGGUAAAGGCCUACCAAGGCGACGAUCUCUAGCUGGUCUGAGAGGACGAUCAGCCACACUGGGACUGAGACACGGCCCAGACUCCUACGGGAGGCAGCAGUGGGGAAUAUUGGACAAUGGGCGCAAGCCUGAUCCAGCAAUACCGCGUGUGUGAAGAAGGCCCUAGGGUUGUAAAGCACUUUCAGCAGUGAAGAAAUGCUCAAGGUUAAUAACCUUGAGUUUUGACGUUAACUGCACAAGAAGCACCGGCUAACUCCGUGCCAGCAGCCGCGGUAAUACAGAGAGUGCAAGCGUUAAUCGGAAUUACUGGGCGUAAAGCGCGCGUAGGUGGAUAUUUAAGUCGGAUGUGAAAGCCCUGGGCUCAACCUAGGAAUGGCAUUCGAUACUGGGUAUCUUGAGUAUAGUAGAGGGAAGUGGAACUUCCGGUGUAGCGGUGAAAUGCGUAGAUAUCGGAAAGAACACCAGUGGCGAAGGCGACUUCCUGGACUAAUACUGACACUGAGGUGCGAAAGCGGGGGGAGCAAACAGGAUUAGAUACCCUGGUAGUCCACGCCGUAAACGAUGUCAACUUGGAGGAAUUUAUAAUCCUUUAGUAUCGUAGCUAACGCGAUAAGUUCUCCGCCUGGGGAGUACGGCCGCAAGGUUAAAACUCAAAUGAAUUGACGGGGGCCCGCACAAGCGGUGGAGCAGGUGGUUUAAUUCGAUGCAACGCGAAAAACCUUACCUACUCUUGACAUCCUUGGAAUUUCGCAGAAACGUGAAAGUGCCUUCGGGAGCCAAGAGACAGGUGCUGCAUGGCUGUCGUCAGCUCGUGCCGUGAGAUGUUGGGUUAAGUCCCGUAACGAGCGCAACCCCUAUCUCUAGUUGCCAGCGAUUCGGUCGGGAACAUUAGAGAGACUGCCGGUGAUAAACCGGAGGAAGGUGGGGAUGACGUCAAGUCAUCAUGGCCCUUACGGCCAGGGCUACACACGUGCUACAAUGGAUAAUACAGAGGGUUGCGAACCCGUAAGGAGGAGCUAAUCUCAGAAAAUUAUUCGUAGUCCGGAUUGGAGUCUGCAACUCGACUCCAUGAAGUCGGAAUCGCUAGUAAUCGCGGAUCAGCUACGCCGCGGUGAAUAUGUUCCUGGGCCUUGUACACACCGCCCGUCACAUCAUGAAAGCCGGGAGCACCCGAAGCCUGCGAUUACGUGGUCGAAGGUAAGCUUGGUAAUUGGGAUGAAGUCGUAACAAGGUAACC
This 1485-nucleotide ribosomal RNA is filed under the name uncultured prokaryote. Its description in RNAcentral is "partial 16S ribosomal RNA". It matches the Rfam family "Bacterial small subunit ribosomal RNA". The record is from RNAcentral.